RNAcentral lists this ribosomal RNA (274 nucleotides) under uncultured bacterium. RNAcentral describes it as "partial 16S ribosomal RNA". It matches the Rfam family "Bacterial small subunit ribosomal RNA", at positions 523 to 796 of the family's 1533-position model. The record is from RNAcentral.
AUACGGAGGGUGCAAGCGUUAUUCGGAAUCACUGGGCGUAAAGGACGCGUAGGCGGGUUGGCAAGUCAGAUGUGAAAUCCUACAGCUUAACUGUAGAACUGCAUUUGAAACUGCUAACCUAGAGUAUGGGAGGGGGAGAUGGAAUUAGUGGUGUAGGGGUAAAAUCCGUAGAUAUCACUAGGAAUACCGAAAGCGAAGGCGAUCUCCUGGAACAUAACUGACGCUAAGGCGUGAAAGCGUGGGGAGCAAACAGAAUUAGAUACCCUAGUAGUCC